Molecule: ribosomal RNA, 497 nt
Filed under: uncultured bacterium
Lineage: Bacteria
Description: partial 16S ribosomal RNA
Rfam family: Bacterial small subunit ribosomal RNA
Source: RNAcentral
GAUGAACGCUGGCGGCGUGCCUAAUACAUGCAAGUCGAGCGAACGGACGAGAAGCUUGCUUCUCUGAGGUUAGCGGCGGACGGGUGAGUAACACGUGGAUAACCUACCUAUAAGACUGGGAUAACUUCGGGAAACCGGAGCUAAUACCGGAUGAUAUUUUGAACCGCAUGGUUCAAAAGUGAAAGACGGUCUUGCUGUCACUUAUAGAUGGAUCCGCGCUGCAUUAGCUAGUUGGUAAGGUAACGGCUUACCAAGGCAACGAUGCAUAGCCGACCUGAGAGGGUGAUCGGCCACACUGGAACUGAGACACGGUCCAGACUCCUACGGGAGGCAGCAGUAGGGAAUCUUACGCAAUGGGCGAAAGCCUGACGGAGCAACGCCGCGUGAGUGAUGAAGGUCUUCGGAUCGUAAAGCUCUGUUAUUAGGGAAGAACAUAAGUGUAAGUAACUGUGCACAUCUUGACGGUACCUAAACAGAAAGCCACGGCUAACUACGUG